RNAcentral lists this ribosomal RNA (624 nucleotides) under uncultured Bacteroidota bacterium. Its description in RNAcentral is "bacterial SSU rRNA". It matches the Rfam family "Bacterial small subunit ribosomal RNA", at positions 60 to 687 of the family's 1533-position model. Lineage: Bacteria; Pseudomonadati; Bacteroidota. The record is from RNAcentral.
AGUCGAGGGGUAUAGUAGCAAUACUAGAGACCGGCGCACGGGUGCGUAACGCGUAUGCAAUCUACCUUUUGCAGAGGGAUAGCCCAGAGAAAUUUGGAUUAAUACCUCAUAGUAUAGUACAGCCGCAUGGUUGAACUAUUAAAGUUACAACGGCAAAAGAUGAGCAUGCGUCCCAUUAGCUAGUUGGUAAGGUAACGGCUUACCAAGGCCGCGAUGGGUAGGGGUCCUGAGAGGGAGAUCCCCCACACUGGUACUGAGACACGGACCAGACUCCUACGGGAGGCAGCAGUGAGGAAUAUUGGUCAAUGGGCGCAAGCCUGAACCAGCCAUGCCGCGUGCAGGAUGACGGUCCUAUGGAUUGUAAACUGCUUUUGUACAGGAAGAAACCCUACUUCGUGAAGUAGCUUGACGGUACUGUAAGAAUAAGGAUCGGCUAACUCCGUGCCAGCAGCCGCGGUAAUACGGAGGAUCCAAGCGUUAUCCGGAAUCAUUGGGUUUAAAGGGUCCGUAGGCGGUUUAGUAAGUCAGUGGUGAAAUCCCAUCGCUCAACGGUGGAACGGCCAUUGAUACUGCUGAACUUGAAUCAUUAGGAAGUAACUAGAAUAUGUAGUGUAGCGGUGAAAU